GCCGCCUUAGCUCAGUGGUAGAGCAGUGGUUUCGUAAACCACAGGUCCAGGGUUCGAAUCCCUGAGGCGGCUCCA
This 75-nucleotide transfer RNA is filed under the name Candidatus Limnocylindrales bacterium. RNAcentral describes it as "tRNA-Thr". It matches the Rfam family "tRNA". From Rfam's summary of the family: Transfer RNA (tRNA) molecules are approximately 80 nucleotides in length. Their secondary structure includes four short double-helical elements and three loops (D, anti-codon, and T loops). Lineage: Bacteria; Bacillati; Chloroflexota; Candidatus Limnocylindria; Candidatus Limnocylindrales. The record is from RNAcentral. RNAcentral also lists the same sequence under 2 other names.